RNAcentral lists this non-coding RNA (80 nucleotides) under uncultured Prevotella sp. Lineage: Bacteria; Pseudomonadati; Bacteroidota; Bacteroidia; Bacteroidales; Prevotellaceae. The record is from RNAcentral.
UAAGGGGUGCCCGCACGAUUGGCGGAGCUGAGAAUAUACCCGAUAACCUGAUCCAGGUAAUGCUGGCGUAGGUAGGUCUA